RNAcentral lists this ribosomal RNA (465 nucleotides) under uncultured bacterium. RNAcentral's name for it is "partial 16S ribosomal RNA". It matches the Rfam family "Bacterial small subunit ribosomal RNA", at positions 338 to 795 of the family's 1533-position model. The record is from RNAcentral.
CCUACGGGUGGCUGCAGUGGGGAAUUUUGCGCAAUGCGCGGAAGAGUGACGCAGCGACGCCGCGUGAAUGACGACGGCCUUCGGGUCGUAAAGUUCUUUCGACAGGGAAGAAAAUGCCUAUAAGUAACUGUGUAUGUAUUGACGGUACCUGUAUAAGCAGCCCCGGCUAACUCCGUGCCAGCAGCCGCGGGAAUUCGGAGGGGGCGAGCGUUGUUCCGAGUGUAUGGGCGUAAAGAGGACGUAGGGGGUGCUGUAAGUGAUUAGUCAAAGACUAGAGAUCAACUUUAGUAAGGCUAGUGAUACUAGAAGACUUGAGUAUCAGAGAGGAUUGCAGAAUGCCUGGUGUAGCGGUGAAAUGCGUAGAUAUCAGGAGGAAUACCGUUAGCGAAGGCGGCAAUCUGGCGGCAAACUGACGCUGAGGUGCGAAAGCGUGGGUAGCAAACAGGAUUAGAUACCCGUGUAGUC